Molecule: ribosomal RNA, 346 nt
Filed under: uncultured bacterium
Lineage: Bacteria
Description: partial 16S ribosomal RNA
Rfam family: Bacterial small subunit ribosomal RNA
Source: RNAcentral
CCUACGGGAGGCAGCAGUGAGGAAUAGUGGUCAAUGGCCGGAAGGCUGAACAAGCCAAGUAGCGUGAAGGAAGAAGGAUCGAUGGUUUGUAAACUUCUUUUAUAGGGGAAUAAAGGGAGGCACGUGUGGAUAUUUGCAUGUACCCUAUGAAUAAGCAUCGGCUAACUCCGUGCCAGCAGCCGCGGUAAUACGGAGGAUGCGAGCGUUAUCCGGAUUUAUUGGGUUUAAAGGGUGCGUAGGUUUUUUUUUAAGUCAGCGGUGAAAGUUUGUGGCUCAACCAGAAAAUUGCCGUUGAAACUGGCAGUCUUGUGUGUGUUUGCGGUCGGCGGACUGCGUGGUGUAGCGG